GCGGGAUUCCAGGUGGGUGUGAAUUCACUACGUUCUCCUUCUGCAGCCUCAAUCAGUUUCAUCAGAGUCGUCGUCAAAAAUAUACAAGUAUGGGACUAUUGGUGUGUGUUCACUAUGUUCUACAUCUGCACCCUCACCAGUCAAUCUAGGAGUGUUCCAACCCAACUGCUGCAUGUAUACUUCAUCAUAGGCUUCAAUGUUUAAACCUGAAGCAAGAAACAAUUCCAACUCAUUCACGAAUCGUUCUGUUCUUGCUGCUAGAAAAGGCCUUGCUGCAUCAGAGACUAGAUUCUUGAACUCUCC
Molecule: unclassified non-coding RNA, 303 nt
Filed under: Hevea brasiliensis (rubber tree)
Lineage: Eukaryota; Viridiplantae; Streptophyta; Magnoliopsida; Malpighiales; Euphorbiaceae
Source: RNAcentral